GGAAUAUUGCACAAUGGGGGAAACCCUGAUGCAGCGACGCCGCGUGAGUGAAGAAGUAUUUCGGUAUGUAAAGCUCUAUCAGCAGGAAAGAAAAUGACGGUACCUGACUAAGAAGCCCCGGCUAACUACGUGCCAGCAGCCGCGGUAAUACGUAGGGGGCAAGCGUUAUCCGGAUUUACUGGGUGUAAAGGGAGCGUAGACGGCUCUGCAAGUCUGAAGUGAAAGCUCGGGGCUCAACCCCGGAACUGCUUUGGAAACUGUAAAGCUGGAGUGCAGGAGAGGUAAGCGGAAUUCCUAGUGUAGCGGUGAAAUGCGUAGAUAUUAGGAGGAACACCAGAGGCGAAGGCGGCUUACUGGACUGUAACUGACGUUGAGGCUCGAAGGCGUGGGGAGCAAACA
RNAcentral lists this ribosomal RNA (399 nucleotides) under uncultured bacterium. Its description in RNAcentral is "bacterial SSU rRNA". It matches the Rfam family "Bacterial small subunit ribosomal RNA", at positions 358 to 774 of the family's 1533-position model. The record is from RNAcentral.